CUCAGAAACUUAAAGGAAGUUGACGGGGGCCCGCACAAGCGGUGGAGCAUGUGAUUUAAUUCGAAGCAACGCGAAGAACCUUACCAGGCCUUGACAUGCAGAGAACUUUCCAGAGAUGGAUUGGUGCCUUCGGGAACUCUGACACAGGUGCUGCAUGGCUGUCGUCAGCUCGUGUCGUGAGGUGUCGGGUUAAGUCCCAUAACGAGCGCAACCCCUACCUUUAGUUGCCAUCAGGUAAUGCUGGGGACUCUAAAGGAACUGCCUACGCAAGUAGUGAGGAAGGCGGGGAUGACGUCAAAUCAGCACGGCCCUUACGUCCAGGGCUACACACGUGCUACAAUGGCCGAUACAGAGGGCAGCUACCUGGUGACAGGAUGCAAAUCUCCAAAGUCGGUCUCAGUUCGGAUCGGAGUCUGCAACCCGACUCCGUGAAGUUGGAUUGGCUAGUAAUCGCGCAUCAGCCAUGGCGCGGUGAAUACGUUCCCGGGCCUU
RNAcentral lists this ribosomal RNA (492 nucleotides) under uncultured Anaerolineaceae bacterium. Its description in RNAcentral is "bacterial SSU rRNA". It matches the Rfam family "Bacterial small subunit ribosomal RNA", at positions 892 to 1382 of the family's 1533-position model. The record is from RNAcentral. Lineage: Bacteria; Bacillati; Chloroflexota; Anaerolineae; Anaerolineales; Anaerolineaceae.